GACGAACGCUGGCGGCGUGCUUAACACAUGCCAGUCGAACGGGUCUGCCCUGUUUUUUGCGGGGUGGGUCAGUGGCGAACGGGUGAGUAACACGUGAGUAACCUGCCCCUCACUUCUGGAUAACCGCUGGAAAGGGUGGCUAAUACGGGGUGUUCUUGCUGUGCCGCAUGGUGUGGCUGGGAAAGAUUCACUUUUGGGGUGUUUUGGUGGGGGAUGGGCUCGCGGCCUAUCAGCCUGUUGGGGGGGUGAUGGCCUGCCGAGGCUUUGACGGGUAGCCGGCGUGAGAGGGUGGGCGGUCAGACUGGGAGUGAGGUCCGGACGAGACUCCGGCGGGAGGCGGCAGUGGGGGGUAUGGAACAAUGGGGGGAAGUCUGAUGCAGCGACGUCGCGUGAGGGAUGGAGGCCUUCGGGUUGUGAACCUCUUUCGCCGGUGAAGAAGGUCCUGCUCUUUGUGGUGGGGUUGACGGUAGCCGGGUUAUGAAGCGCCGGCUAACUACGUG
This 500-nucleotide ribosomal RNA is filed under the name uncultured bacterium. RNAcentral's name for it is "partial 16S ribosomal RNA". It matches the Rfam family "Bacterial small subunit ribosomal RNA", at positions 28 to 507 of the family's 1533-position model. The record is from RNAcentral.